This 61-nucleotide transfer RNA is filed under the name Pelagomonas calceolata. It matches the Rfam family "tRNA", at positions 7 to 64 of the family's 71-position model. Rfam says of the family: Transfer RNA (tRNA) molecules are approximately 80 nucleotides in length. The record is from RNAcentral. Lineage: Eukaryota; Pelagophyceae; Pelagomonadales; Pelagomonadaceae.
CGUUGGCUCAGUGGUAGAGCAUCUGCCUUGUAAGCAGUAGGUCGUCGGUUCGAGUCCGGCA